GGAGAGAUGGCUCAGUGGGUAAGAGCACUGAUUGUGCUCCCAGAGGUCCUGAGUUCAAAUCCCAGCAACCACA
Molecule: transfer RNA, 73 nt
Filed under: Mus musculus (house mouse)
Lineage: Eukaryota; Metazoa; Chordata; Mammalia; Rodentia; Muridae
Description: tRNA-His
Source: RNAcentral